GCGUUGUCCGGAUUUAUUGGGCGUAAAGAGCUCGUAGGCGGUUCGGUAAGUCGGGUGUGAAAACUUUGGGCUCAACCCAAAGCGUGCACUCGAUACUGCCGUGACUAGAGUUCGGUAGGGGAGCGGGGAAUUCCUAGUGUAGCGGUGAAAUGCGCAGAUAUUAGGAGGAACACCGGUGGCGAAGGCGCCGCUCUGGGCCGAAACUGACGCUGAGGAGCGAAAGCGUGGGUAGCAAACAGG
Molecule: ribosomal RNA, 240 nt
Filed under: uncultured bacterium
Lineage: Bacteria
Description: partial 16S ribosomal RNA
Rfam family: Bacterial small subunit ribosomal RNA
Source: RNAcentral